GACGAACGCUGGCGGCGUGCUUAACACAUGCAAGUCGAACGGAAAGGCCCUGCUUUUGUGGGGUGCUCGAGUGGCGAACGGGUGAGUAACACGUGAGUAACCUGCCCUUGACUUUGGGAUAACUUCAGGAAACUGGGGCUAAUACCGGAUAGGAGCUCCUGCUGCAUGGUGGGGGUUGGAAAGUUUCGGCGGUUGGGGAUGGACUCGCGGCUUAUCAGCUUGUUGGUGGGGUAGUGGCUUACCAAGGCUUUGACGGGUAGCCGGCCUGAGAGGGUGACCGGCACAAUGGGGCCGAGAUUACGGCCAGGACUCCUACGGAGGCAGCAGUGGGGAAUAUUGCACAAUGGGCGGAAGCCUGAUGCAGCAACGCCGCGUGCGGGAUGACGGCCUUCGGGUUGUAAACCGCUUUCGCCUGUGACGAAGCGUGAGUGACGGUAAUGGGUAAAGAAGCACCGGCUAACUACGUG
RNAcentral lists this ribosomal RNA (467 nucleotides) under uncultured bacterium. RNAcentral describes it as "partial 16S ribosomal RNA". It matches the Rfam family "Bacterial small subunit ribosomal RNA", at positions 28 to 507 of the family's 1533-position model. The record is from RNAcentral.